GCCUGCCAGUGACCAUGUGUUCACGGCCGCGGUAUUCUGACCGCGCGAAGGUAGCGUAAUCACUUGUUUUUUAAAUAAAGACUAGUAUGAACGGCCGCACGAGGACCUAACUGUCUCCUUUGUCCAAUCAGUGAAACUGAUCUCCUCGUGCAGAAGCGAGGAUCUUAUCAUAAGACGAGAAGACCCUAUGGAGCUUUAAACUUUUAUUAAUUAUUUUCUUCACCCCUCUAAGGAGCCAACAACUAAUUUAAUUUUUUUUAUAAAAGUUUUGGGUUGGGGCGACCAUGGAGGAAAAAAAAUCCUCCCUGAUGACACCUAACUAAGAGCCACAGCUCCAAAUAUUAAGACACUUAACUCCUAUUGACCCAUUUUAUGAUCAACGAACCAAGUUACCCUAGGGAUAACAGCGCAAUCCAUUUCAAGAGUCCUUAUCGACAAAUGGGUUUACGACCUCGAUGUUGGAUCAGGGCAUCCAAGUGGUGCAACCGCUACUAAAGGUUCGUUUGUUCAACGAUUAAAGCCCUACGUGAUCU
The sequence is a ribosomal RNA, 533 nucleotides long. It matches the Rfam family "Bacterial large subunit ribosomal RNA", at positions 1857 to 2606 of the family's 2925-position model.